AAAAAGAUAUAUAUCAAGAAUUAAUUCAAAAAAAUUCUAUUAUACAAAACACAAUUAGAACGAAACAUCCAACCAACACAACAAAAAAAGAAAUAACAUGUUAUAUGAAGUUUAUUAAAUAUAGGAUAAAAUGGAUAUUCAGUUGUUAUAGGUACACAUUUUAUUACAAAAGACAGAACACAAAUUGUUUUAUGAUUAUAAAGAAAAAACUACUUUCUAAUAAAUUUUAUAAAAAUGAGCACAAUUUAAUAAAUUUACAAACUUAUAGUAAUAAUAAAAAAAAUUUCAUUAAUGAAAAGGAUAGCUUUAUUAAUAAUACAUAUGUUACUACUAAAAAUGACAACAUAAAUAAAAACACGAUGGAUGUAAAAAGAUUUAUAUUAUUAUGGAAUGAUAAGUACGUUCAGUGUGUUAAAAGAAACCAAAACAAAAAUGUAAAAAAAAAAAAAAAUAUAUUACAUAUAACACAAUAUGAAAAAAAACAAGAUAUUCAUAAUGAGAACCAUGUUCAUGUAUAUGACAUCAAUAAUGAUAAUAGUAAUAAAAGCGAGUCCCAUAAUUAUUUAAAACUUAAAGAUGAUAAUCCCACUAAUUAUAAAACACAUAAAUCAGUUAUAGCAGAAUAUAACAAACACAAUAUAAAUAAUAGUAUAAGUAUUGCUAAUGAAAUAAAAUUAAAAGAUGAAGUUAUAGUGAAUAAUUUAAACAUACCUGAUAGCUUAAAUAAAGAAGAAAUGAGAAAGAACAUACUUAAAAAUAAAAAAAUUUUAGAUUAUAUACAAACCAACAGAAUAGAACAAAAAAUAUAUAUUAAUGAUUAUGUUGAUAAUAAAAUAACACAUGAAUUAAAUAUGUUAGUUAAAGAAUUUUUAAAAAAUAUAGCCAAAUCACAUGAAAAGUUAUUUUUAUUAAAAAAAAAAAAAAAAUAUUAUUUAGGAUUAAAAGAAAGUUAUAAACAUAUUUGUAUUAAUGAACCAAAGUUAGUAAUAAUUGCGCCGAAUAUUGAGCCAACGUUAAAUAACGUCUUUCAUGAUAUAAUAUAUAAAAUAAAAAAUAAAUGUAAAGAAAAAAAUAUUCCCUUGGUAAAUGCAUUAAGUAAAAAUUUGUUAGGGAAAUGCAUUGGAAAACCUAGACAAUCAAUUAUAUGUAUAAUGGAUAAUGAUUCUUAUAUAAAAGAAUGUAAUACUAUAAUUAAUUUGGCUAACUCUCUUAAAAUAAGUGAAUGACAUGUACUUUUUUUUUUUUUUUUUUAUUAGUUAGCUAACUAGUUAACUAUUUUUUUUUUCUUUUUUUUUUUACUAAUUAAUUAGCUAGUUUAUUAGUUUUUUUUUUAUUUAUUAACUAGUUAGUCGUCAUUUUUUUUUUUUAAGUUUAUUUGUUAUGACUUUUUUUUACUAAUUUAUUUGUUUAUUGA
Molecule: long non-coding RNA, 1414 nt
Filed under: Piliocolobus tephrosceles (Ugandan red Colobus)
Lineage: Eukaryota; Metazoa; Chordata; Mammalia; Primates; Cercopithecidae
Description: lncRNA (ENSPTEG00000009001.1)
Source: RNAcentral